AUAUGUGAUUGGUAAUUAAAAACCCAUGUUUUGUUACAUAUGAAAAUGUUGGGUUAUAUAGGUCGAACGGGUCAAAUGGUGGGAACAACGCCAUUUGACAAUAUCAACUAAUGUGGUUGUCAAGUCAUGUGUUUUCAGGGGCGAAUAGUAAUUUGGGUAAUUGCGUCGCCAUAAGAAUAUCGAUAAUGAAAGCAAGGAGUCGAAACGGAUCAUUAGGUUGACUCGAGCCAGGUGAAUGUCGAGAGUCCCGGAUGAAGAUCAAGCAUCGAACAAGAACCGAACACACGUUAAACAAAGCUUCCGCAACGUUAUUUUGUCGUUAUUCUAAACGGCGAAUUAAAUCACAUUAUGUAUAUCACUUAAAUUGUAAAAGUUUUUAACAACCCGUAUUUCUAAUGUAUAUGUAAUUAUUAAUUACAUGAUUAUUUCGCUAAAUAUACGUUAAACCUUGAUUUAUAAGAACGGGUGUUACAAGUUGGUAAUCAGAGCUCAAGGUGAAAAAAAUAAAGUGUUCGGUUCAAGGCUUGAUCGCAAAUCCGGUAGGACACUCGCGUUUGAAGACGACGAGAGUCAAACAAAUUGUGGAUAUGAUGAUGGAACGGUCUGAAGUAUGACAAGAGGAGCAUGCUCACCGAGGACUAAAUCGCGUAACGACCGCGAACAAGGUUAAUGGCAAGGAACGCCCGUCGGGGCAAACAUUACCAGAACCAGGAGGGGGCGACCAGGGGUUUCUCCACAAACCCUAAUUCUCACAAAAUCCUUCAAAUUGAAGCUCAAAUCAAGCCCGAAUCGUCUGCAUGAUUACAAAUUCGUGAUCUCCAUUGAAAGGGGAGUCAUAAGUUUGACUCUUGACGAGCUAGGUGAAGCUUGGAGGAGAAGAUCAAACGGGAUAAAGGAACGAAUAAGACUUGCUUGGAUGAAAGGGGCGAAUAGUAAUUUGGGUAAUUGCGUCGCCAUAAGAAUAUCGAUAAUGAAAGCAAGGAGUCGAAACGGGUCAUUAGGUUGACUCGAGCCAGGUGAAUGUCGAGAGUCCCGGAUGAAGAUCAAGCAUCGAACAAGAACCGAACACACGUUAAACAAAGCUUCCCCAACGUUAUUUUGUCGUUAUUCUAAACGGCGAAUUAAAUCACAUUAUGUAUAUCACUUA
RNAcentral lists this long non-coding RNA (1147 nucleotides) under Helianthus annuus (common sunflower). RNAcentral describes it as "hypothetical non coding rna". The record is from RNAcentral. Lineage: Eukaryota; Viridiplantae; Streptophyta; Magnoliopsida; Asterales; Asteraceae.